CUGUGGACCGAGCAAAAGAUGUACAAAAAUUUGGUGGACAAGCUAGGAAAGUAAGUUACGGCCCAAGGCAAAGCAUGGCAAAGCAUGGCAAAGCUAGCUUCUGCUCUCCCGAGACCUCCCCUCCGCUUAUUUCCACUAAUUCACCUGUCAAGUCAACCGAAGGAGCGUUUCGACGAGUUGACAAAAUGUCAGCAACAGGUGUCUGCCAGCGCGCGAGGAGCUCAAAAUGUCCCUCGACAACGGCAACAUAGUUUGGUCUCUGGAAAGUUUCCGGUCUGCAAGAACUCACCUUGGGACUCGGGAGGAGAUGCGUCGCUGCCAUCCUGGUCCGCCAUUUCUCCUGACGUCAGCUGAGAGGGAUCAGCGGCAGGAACCCGAGGGACCUGCCGGACUCUAUCCUGAGACAGACGGGACACCCUCCCACGGACAGGUGGGGGACGACACGGGCUAGCAUCAGUGUUAGCAGCGCAAAGCGAACUGAUGAUAUGUGAUAGUUACAACACUGAUGAAUGAACUUUUCAUACCUUUGAUUUGCUUCAGUUUGGGCCACGUCAAACCUCCUGUAGACGUUUAGCCGCAGGAGCCAAACGUCUACUUAUGUCGAGAAAAGGUUCGGUUGGGUCCAUCUCGGGAUGUUUUUACCGCUUUAAACAUCUACGCUCGAAGAGCUUGAGACGGGGAAAUGUGCUGAAGCUAAACUACAUGGGCUACAGGUGUUUAAACGAAGUACCGUGCUGACAUCUACUGGCAGUCAGACUGUAUCAGUAGGGUGAAAUCGUUGCCACGGUCACUUUACCGUUAAUUUGGGGUCUGGGCAAGUUCAAAAAAAUUGUCAGUAGUAAUGGAGGUCAACAUAAAUGAACAUUAGUUUAACCGCAGAAAGGAGAUCGAUUGUAUAUCAAGAUGGACUCAGGAAGGAGGGACCUCCUGUGGCGUGCAGUGGAGCACUUGGUCAUUCUGAGUCUCUUGGCUGAACGGGCUCCCGCGGCCUGCCAGAACACUGUGUAGAGGCUGGGAGACAUUGUCCAUGACGGAGAGGAGUUUUGACAACAUCCUCCUCACCGCCACUGCAUGCAGAGGGUCCGGCUCCACCCCCAGGACUGAGCCAGCCUUCUGAAUCAGCUUGUGGAGUCUGUUCGUGUUGUCUACCCUCGGGGCUUCUUCCCAGCCACUGAAGGACCGUAGCCCCCCCAAGGAAAAAGAUUCGACUCUGGCCCUUUCCCGCAGAGAGCCGUAGAGUUCCUGGUCCAGUCCAGUCCAGUUUGAAAUUUGCAGUUUCUGUGAGCAUAUGCGCAUUUUGAGACUAGUCAUAGCUUGUGUCCACCAUAGGACACAAUUCCUCACAAUGAAAUCUAUACCCCAACGCUUAAUACAGCUAUUAAAGCAGUCUUUCAUAUCAGUACCCCGGUCAGAACAGGUACUAGGGUUAAAGGGUAAUUAGCUCAAGAUUACAAGAAAUUAAAAUGGGAACAUAGUUAACUUAAAGGCCUUGCACACCAACACAGGUAUUUUUUCAAUAACUCUGGUGGUAGAUUACAUCCCGCAAAGUAUAGCAUAAUUACUGCAGAGUUAUGGUGUAAUAAAAAUAAGUAAUUUA
Xiphias gladius (swordfish) is the source of this 1597-nucleotide long non-coding RNA. RefSeq lists it as uncharacterized. The transcript has 2 exons. NCBI's taxonomy places the organism in Eukaryota, Metazoa, Chordata, Actinopteri, Istiophoriformes, Xiphiidae. The record is from RefSeq and is a predicted model, not a curated record.